AGCAGCCGCGGUAAUUCCAGCUCCAAUAGCGUAUAUUAAAGUUGUUGCAGUUAAAAAGCUCGUAGUUGAAUUUCGGGAUCAAUAUGUUGGUCGUGCCUUGGUACGUACUGGCAUUAUCGAUUCCUACCUUCUGAAGAACCUCGAUGUCAUUAAUUUGGUGUCUUGUGGAAUCAGGACUGUUACUUUGAAAAAAUUAGAGUGUUUAAAGCAGGCUCGCGCUUGAAUACAUUAGCAUGGAAUAAUGAAAUAGGACGUUUGAUUCUAUUUUGUUGGUUUCUAGGAUCGACGUAAUGAUUAAUAGGGAUAGUUGGGGGCAUUAGUAUUCAAUUGUCAGAGGUGAAAUUCUUGGAUUUAUUGAAGACUAACUACUGCGAAAGCAUUUGCCAAGGAUGUUUUCAUUAAUCAAGAACGAAAGUUAGGGGAUCGAAGACGAUCAGAUACCGUCGUAGUCUUAACCAUAAACUAUGCCGACUAGGGAUCGGAUGAUGUUAAUUUUUUAAUGACUCAUUCGGCGCCUUACG
Molecule: ribosomal RNA, 521 nt
Filed under: uncultured Glomeraceae
Lineage: Eukaryota; Fungi; Glomeromycota; Glomeromycetes; Glomerales; Glomeraceae
Description: SSU rRNA
Rfam family: Eukaryotic small subunit ribosomal RNA
Source: RNAcentral